CGAGCGAACCCUUCGGGGUUAGCGGCGGACGGGUGAGUAACGCGUGGGAACGUGCCCUUCUCUGCGGAAUAGGCUCGGGAAACUGGGUUUAAUACCGCAUACGCCCUUCGGGGGAAAGAUUUAUCGGAGAAGGAUCGGCCCGCGUCUGAUUAGGUAGUUGGUGGGGUAAUGGCCUACCAAGCCUACGAUCAGUAGCUGGUUUGAGAGGAUGAUCAGCCACACUGGGACUGAGACACGGCCCAGACUCCUACGGGAGGCAGCAGUGAGGAAUCUUGGACAAUGGGGGAAACCCUGAUCCAGCCAUGCCGCGUGAGCGAUGAAGGCCUUAGGGUUGUAAAGCUCUUUCAGUCGUGAAGAUAAUGACGGUAGCGACAGAAGAAGCCCCGGCUAACUCCGUGCCAGCAGCCGCGGUAAUACGGAGGGGGCUAGCGUUGUUCGGAAUUACUGGGCGUAAAGCGCGCGUAGGCGGACUAUUAAGUCGGGGGUGAAAUCCCGGGGCUCAACCCCGGAACUGCCUCCGAUACUGGUAGUCUAGAGUUCGAGAGAGGUGAGUGGAAUUCCGAGUGUAGAGGUGAAAUUCGUAGAUAUUCGGAGGAACACCAGUGGCGAAGGCGGCUCACUG
RNAcentral lists this ribosomal RNA (622 nucleotides) under Rhodovulum sp. MB9. RNAcentral's name for it is "bacterial SSU rRNA". It matches the Rfam family "Bacterial small subunit ribosomal RNA", at positions 63 to 731 of the family's 1533-position model. The record is from RNAcentral. Lineage: Bacteria; Pseudomonadati; Pseudomonadota; Alphaproteobacteria; Rhodobacterales; Paracoccaceae.